Molecule: ribosomal RNA, 250 nt
Filed under: uncultured bacterium
Lineage: Bacteria
Description: partial 16S ribosomal RNA
Rfam family: Bacterial small subunit ribosomal RNA
Source: RNAcentral
UACGUAGGGAGCAAGCGUUGUCCGGAAUUACUGGGCGUAAAGGGUGCGUAGGCGGUUUGUUAAGUCAGAUGUGAAAUACCCGGGCUCAACCUGGGGGGUGCAUCUGAAACUGGCAGACUUGAGUGCAGGAGAGGAAAGUGGAAUUCCUAGUGUAGCGGUGAAAUGCGUAGAGAUUAGGAAGAACACCAGUGGCGAAGGCGACUUUCUGGACUGUAACUGACGCUGAGGCUCGAAAGCGUGGGGAGCAAAC